RNAcentral lists this unclassified non-coding RNA (1126 nucleotides) under Actinia tenebrosa (Australian red waratah sea anemone). RNAcentral describes it as "uncharacterized LOC116292674, transcript variant X1". Lineage: Eukaryota; Metazoa; Cnidaria; Anthozoa; Actiniaria; Actiniidae. The record is from RNAcentral.
CGGCUCACUACCAUCGAGCAAAAGCUCGUCAAGUCCUUGACUUACAAGAAACUGCUGCUGANAAACAGUACAUAAACCUCGCUUUUCUCCUCGAAUAUGGACACCUAUGCAGCUUUGGUUGUCCCAGGUGUUCUCACAAUUCUAGUUGUAGUCCUGACUUGGAUUUAUAUGCGGAAUGCGUCUCGUUUAGCGAGUGAAAGUUUGGCUACAGAAAUGACUUCCUCAAUGAAAAGGAAUGACAAGAACCGAGACGAAGAAAAAGAAGAACUCGAAAUUUCACAGGAAAAUGACCAAGACUCACUAAGUGAUGAAAAUCUUCGAGAAGAACUAGAGAAAUACAUGAUCAAACCUGGUGAAAUACAAGAUGUCUCACUGCCCAUACCACUGGACAAUGAGACUAUCCAACAUGAAAUGAAGGAAAAAGGAUUUGAAAAUAUACAGACAUAUUACAAGACAUCAAAACUACAGAUAAAAGAGAUGGAAGACAUGUUGACCAGACAAGAAAGGGAGCUAGAGAGAGAAGCACAAAGAAAACAACUGGAAGAAAUCUUUAAGCUGAUGGCUAGCGAGAAAGAGAAAUUUGGUGUUGACUCAAUGGACCAAGUUGAAGACCAAAUGAAACUCUAUGUACAGUAGCAUAUCCUGAUAUUCUAUAGCCAUCUAGAGUCAGACGUUCAUAACCAGCUGAAAAGUGGUCCACUCCUGCCAAGAAAAGAUUAAAAGGAUUAAAAGGAUUAAAAAAAAAAAAUAGAAAAGAAAAAAAGGAAAAGAAAGAAAGAAAGAAAGGAGAUAGAAAAUAGAAUGAAAGUAACAAGAAAGAAGAAGAAAGAUAGGAGAGACAGCAGAUUAUUGCCUAUAUUUUGUUCUCACUCAAAAUGCCACCUAUUGAGAUGAACUUUUCAUUUAUUAAGACAGUGAUAUGUUAAUAAAAAAAGAUAUUUUAAAAAUUAUUUAAAUUAUCUUAAUGACUUUAUUUGAAAGAUUCACUUUUAAUUGUAAAAAGGAAGAGAUCACAAAGGAUGGGUCUCUCUAAAAGAUUAAGAACAUUAUUAUAACCAUUAAGAGCUGUUAAUAUUUAAUUCAUUAUAUUCUCAUUUGUUAUUAAAAAUUGCUCCAUUAGAGUUCA